CAGUAGCCGCGGUAAUACGUAGGUGGCAAGCGUUGUCCGGAAUUAUUGGGCGUAAAGCGCGCGCAGGUGGUUUAAUAAGUCUGAUGUGAAAGCCCACGGCUCAACCGUGGAGGGUCAUUGGAAACUGUUAAACUUGAGUGCAGGAGAGAAAAGUGGAAUUCCUAGUGUAGCGGUGAAAUGCGUAGAGAUUAGGAGGAACACCAGUGGCGAAGGCGGCUUUUUGGCCUGUAACUGACACUGAGGCGCGAAAGCGUGGGGAGCAAACAGGAUUAGAUACCCCAGUAGUCCCUGUCUCUUAUAC
RNAcentral lists this ribosomal RNA (301 nucleotides) under uncultured bacterium. Its description in RNAcentral is "partial 16S ribosomal RNA". It matches the Rfam family "Bacterial small subunit ribosomal RNA", at positions 509 to 807 of the family's 1533-position model. The record is from RNAcentral.